Molecule: ribosomal RNA, 252 nt
Filed under: uncultured bacterium
Lineage: Bacteria
Description: partial 16S ribosomal RNA
Rfam family: Bacterial small subunit ribosomal RNA
Source: RNAcentral
UACGGGGGGGGCAAGCGGUUGUUCGGAAUUACUGGGCGUAAAGGGUUCGUAGGUGGCGUGCUAAGUCAGACGUGAAAUCCCUCAGCUUAACUGGGGAACUGCGUCGUGAGACUGGCCAAGGCACAGAGGGAUGAGGAGACGCGAUCAGUGUAGCGGUGAAAUGCGUAGAUAUCUGGAGGAACACCGGUGGCGAAGGCGGCGUUCUGGACUGCAACUGACGACUGAUGAACGGAAGCCAGGGGAGCAAACGGG